GAUGAAGAACGUAGUGAAAUGCGAUACUUGGUGUGAAUUGCAGAAUCCCGUGAACCAUCGAGUCUUUGAACGCAAGUUGCGCCCGAAGCCACUAGGCCGAGGGCACGCCUGCCUGGGCGUCACACGCCGUUGCCCCCCCAUCUACUCCUUCGGGAUUGCGGGGGGGCGGAUGAUGGCCUCCCGUGCGCCUAGCCGCGCGGUUGACAUAAAUACCAAGUCCUCGGCGACGCACGCCACGACAAUCGGUGGUUGCGAAACCUCGGUUGCCCGUCGUGUGCGUUCGUCGCGCAUCGAGGGCUCGAAAAAAUGCUCGGCUCCGGCUGGGCUUUCAACGCGACCCCAGGUCAGGCGGGGUUACCCGCUGAAUUUAAGCAUAUCAAUAAGCGGAGGA
RNAcentral lists this unclassified non-coding RNA (391 nucleotides) under soil metagenome. RNAcentral's name for it is "partial contains 5.8S ribosomal RNA, internal transcribed spacer 2, and large subunit ribosomal RNA". The stretch from base 1 to 122 matches the Rfam family "5.8S ribosomal RNA", at positions 35 to 154 of the family's 154-position model. The record is from RNAcentral.